RNA transcript from Daucus carota subsp. sativus, 3097 nucleotides. It is a transcript of the gene named pentatricopeptide repeat-containing protein At4g35130, chloroplastic, with no coding region annotated. Lineage: Eukaryota; Viridiplantae; Streptophyta; Magnoliopsida; Apiales; Apiaceae. The record is from RefSeq and is a predicted model, not a curated record. The transcript is spliced from 2 exons.
GACAACUAAAAUGAGAGGAGGGAAUACUUAACUUAGAAUCCUUCUAACUGUAUCAACUGUUUUUUAUACUUCCCGCUAAGCCCAUGAAAUCAAACGGCUAAAUCUCCCCAAUUUAUCUACAUAAAUACUUUCCGCUUUAAAAAUGGCAAUGUUAUCAGCUCUUACAUUCUUUUCUAGCUACACCUUUCAAGUAAACACAUCAAUGUUCAAAACAAAAUCUACCAAGAACCAUCAACCAAAAACACUGCCCAAAUCAUCUCUUACUGACAAAUAUACCCCCCAAUCGAUAGACGUAGAUGUCUCCAAUGCCCGAAAGAAUCAGUUGCUGACAAGAAAUCUUGUUUCUCAUGUUAAUUCUGGGGAUAUAGAGAGUGCACUCUAUCUGUUUGAGAGAAUGCCUAAAUCAGACACUUUUGUUUGGAAUGUUUUGAUUAGGGGGUUAACUGAUAAUGGAUUUUUUCGAGAAGCGGUUGAUUUGUACUAUCGUAUGUGUUUUAGUGGGGUUCGAGCUGAUAACUUUACAUUUCCGUUUGUUAUAAAGGCGUGUGGUGAAUUGUGUGAUUUAAGGGAAGGGGAAAAGGUACAUGCUAAGGUGUAUAAAGCUGGGUUGAAUUUUGAUCUUUAUGUUUGUAAUGCUCUUAUUUGUAUGUAUGCAAAGCUUGGUUAUAUUGAUUGUGCUGAAAGGGUGUUUUUGGGAAUGGAAAGUAGAGACUUGGUUUCGUGGAAUUCUAUGAUUAGUGCUUAUGCAAUAGUUGGUGAUGGAUGGAGCUCGCUUUUGUGUAUCAAGAAAAUGCAAUCAGUUGGAAUAGAACAUGACAAGUUUACACUAAUCAGCAGUCUUAAAGCUUGUUCACUUCUGUGUUCAUUGUUAAUUGGGAAGGAAAUUCACGGCCAGGUUAUCAAGAGUACAUUCAGAUUGGAUGUUGUAGUUCAAACAUCGCUUAUUGACAUGUAUGGAAAAUGUUGUCACGUGCAGUAUGCAUAUAAUCUGUUUAACCGGAUUCCAGAGAGGGGUAUUAUAACUUGGAAUGCUAUGAUUGGAUGUUAUGCACUAAAUUUGCGCCCACUUGAGUCCUUUAGCUGCUUCAGAAAUAUGCAAAAAAGUGGCGUGGUGCAUCCGGAUAAAAUAACAUUAAUAAAUUUGCUUCCAUCAUGUGCACAAGUUGGUGCCCUGCUGCCAGGAAAAUCUAUACAUGGUUUUGCCAUUAGGAAGGAGUUUCUACCUCAUUUAGUAUUGGAGACAACUCUAAUUGACAUGUAUGGAAAGUUGCAGGAGCUCAGACUGGCCGAACAAGUUUUUGAUCAAAUGAAUGUGAAAAAUAUGAUCUCAUGGAAUGCAAUUAUUGCUGCCUACGUGCAAAAUGGGCAGAGUAGACAAGCCCUGAAAUUAUUCAGCAAUCUCGUAUACAAGCAUUGUAAACCAGAUGCAUCGACAAUUUCAAGCAUCCUUCCUGCCUACUCGGAUAUAGCCUCAUUGACAGAGGGAAAACAAAUCCAUGGCUACAUUAUACAAAAUGAAUUUUCGGCUAAUAAUUAUAUCUCAAAUUCAAUUAUUUACAUGUAUGCAAGAUGUGGGGAUCUCCUGAGCGCUCAACAGAUUUUUGAUAGGAUGUACAAUAAGGAUGUCAUUUCAUGGAACACAAUAAUUAUGGCUUAUGGUAUUCAUGGAUUUGGGAAAGAAUCUCUUGAACUGUUCUGCAGGAUGAGGGAAAAUAAUAUUGAACCCAAUGCAAGCACUUUUGUUUCUGUCCUAUCUUCCUGUAGUAUUGCUGGCUUGGAUGAAGAAGGAUGGAAGCACUUCCACCUAAUGAAAAGGGAGUAUGGGAUCGAUCCUCAAAUCGAGCACUAUGGUUCUAUGCUUGAUCUUCUAGGUCGUAAAGGAGAUCUUGAUAAGGCUAAGGAAUUUAUCCAUGAGAUGCCAUUGGCUCCAACAGCUAGGAUAUGGGGAUCUCUGUUGGCUGCAAGCAGACACCAUAGAAACAUAGAGUUAGCUGAAGUUGCAGCUAACCAUAUCCUAAGUUUAGCGCAUGAUAAUACAGGAUGCUACAUUGUGCUGUCUAAUAUGUAUGCAGAAGUUGGGAGAUGGGAAGAUGUAGAGCGGAUCAAAGAUCUUAUGAGUGAGCAAGGAAUGGCGAAAACAAUUGGAUUUAGUGAUAUAGAGGUCAACUAUAAGACUAUCAGGUUUGUAAAUCAUGAUAGAUUCCACCUUGAGACUGACAGAAUAUAUGAUGUCCUAUCUAUCCUUUUAAGGCAGAUAGGGGAAGAAUUGUUUGUCAGUCUUCAAAAGUUUAGGCCAGUUGAUUUAAUUAGAACAAGAUUAAAUUCCCCAAAAUGUCACAGUGUGAGAUUAGCAAUAUCCUAUGGAUUGAUAUCUAUAUCAAUUGGGAAACCUAUAGUCAUUAAGAAAAACAUUAGGAUUUGUAGGGAUUGCCAUGAUGCAGCAAAGAAGAUAUCGGAUAUCACGAAUAGGGAGAUAGUAGUGGGAGAUUCAAAGAUAUAUCACCACAUCAAAGAUGGCCACUGCUCGUGUAAAGAUUACUGGUGAUUUUUGUGUUUAUGUGAUAUGCAACUGAGGAAGAGUAUUUAGUGACAGCUGGUGACAAUCUUAGAUACAGGAACUUGUUACAUAACACUAUUAUGAAGACAGGAAUCAUAUAGAUCCAUCACACUUGCAGUAAGGUAUGUGUAGCAAUUUCACAGGGAUGUAUACAAUAAAAGAGAAGAUGCUCAAUGUACAGGACAAAAUAUUAGUGGUACUAAGUAAGAUGCACACAAUCACUUAAUCUCAUCAUUCAUGCUCUAAAUUGAUAAACUAAUGAUAAAUAAUAACUUUAAUUAAACAUAUAUAUUAUAGGCCAAAAUACUUGUCACUCAGAGGAAACAAUCUGAGAGUUCUGCUAUUGUUACUAUUAUGGUUGAAUCUACUGUUUUUAUCACUCAUGGCUGCAGGGCUGAGUACUUCUCAUCACUCAAAACGCGCAAAAAGCCUUGUAAGUAUUGUACUGAGAAGAGGAACAAGUGCAAGCAACGCUAGUUGGGAGUAUUCAGUGCUUUUUAAGCCGAUACUCACUUGUCCUUCCCCACUGUUAUUAAGCUU